RNAcentral lists this non-coding RNA (45 nucleotides) under Trichobilharzia regenti. Lineage: Eukaryota; Metazoa; Platyhelminthes; Trematoda; Strigeidida; Schistosomatidae. The record is from RNAcentral.
AUCUAGAUGACGAAUCCCAAAUAGAACGGAAUGCGUAUCCUGGAU